AUUGAACGCUGGCGGCAUGCUUUACACAUGCAAGUCGAACGGUAACAGGCCGUCGGGUGCUUACUAGUGGCGGUCGGGAACGUAAUGCUUCCGCGCAGGCCCAGAGGCUGGUGAUAACGGAGCAAAAUCUGUACCAAUAGCGCAUAUGGUCUGACGAUGAAAGACGGGUACCAAGUAGCAAUAUUUGGCCUUUCGCCUCCUGCACGGCCGACGUCCGAUUAAGUAGUUGGUGGGGUAAAGGCCUACUAAGCCGACGAUCAGUAGCUGGUCUGAGAGGACGACCAGCCACACUGGGACUGGGAAACGGCCCGGACUCCUACGGGAGGCAGCAGUGGGGAAUUUUGGACAAUGGGGGCAAGCUGGAUCAAGCAAGGCAGCGGACGGGAAGAAGGCCUUCGGGUUGUAAACCGCGUUUGUACGGAACGAAAAGGCUCUGGCUAAUACCUGGGGCUGAUGACGGUACCGUAAGAAUAAGCACCGGCUAACUACGUG
This 492-nucleotide ribosomal RNA is filed under the name uncultured bacterium. Its description in RNAcentral is "partial 16S ribosomal RNA". It matches the Rfam family "Bacterial small subunit ribosomal RNA", at positions 30 to 507 of the family's 1533-position model. The record is from RNAcentral.